RNAcentral lists this ribosomal RNA (359 nucleotides) under Euchorthippus pulvinatus. RNAcentral describes it as "partial 16S ribosomal RNA". The stretch from base 1 to 163 matches the Rfam family "Archaeal large subunit ribosomal RNA", at positions 1951 to 2143 of the family's 2987-position model. The record is from RNAcentral. Lineage: Eukaryota; Metazoa; Arthropoda; Insecta; Orthoptera; Acrididae.
CUGCUCACUGCUCACUGAAGUUUUAAAGAGCCGCGGUAUUUUGACCGUGCAAAGGUAGCAUAAUCAUUAGUCUAUUAAUUAUAGGCUGGAAUGAAUGGUUUGACGAAAAAUCAACUGUCUCUUAAUAAAUUUUAAAAUUUAACUUUUGAGUUAAAAGGCUUAAAUUUUUUUUUAGGACGAGAAGACCCUAUAGAGCUUAACAUUUAAUUUAAAUUUAUAUAUAAGAUUAUCUUUUUAUAUUUAAUGAAAAUGUUUUGUUGGGGUGACAUGAAGAAUUAAAAAACUCUUCAUUAUUGAUUCAUUAAUUUAUGUUUAUUUUGAUCCAUUAUUUAUGAUCAUAAGAUUAAGUUACCUUAGGG